AGAAGAGGUAUGUGGAAC
This 18-nucleotide small RNA is filed under the name Arabidopsis thaliana (thale cress). RNAcentral describes it as "ATSL085820". The record is from RNAcentral. Lineage: Eukaryota; Viridiplantae; Streptophyta; Magnoliopsida; Brassicales; Brassicaceae.